This 418-nucleotide long non-coding RNA is filed under the name Helianthus annuus (common sunflower). Its description in RNAcentral is "sRNA HanXRQr2_Chr06g0273831". The record is from RNAcentral. Lineage: Eukaryota; Viridiplantae; Streptophyta; Magnoliopsida; Asterales; Asteraceae.
UCAACACUACACUCCAUCUCCUCCCUCCUUCCCCAAAUCGGCAGCCAUCAACCACCACCCUACCACCAUCAUUCGACCUUGUUCCAUCCAUUCUAUUACCAUACAAGGGUGCAAGGAGACACACAACGAAGCUUGGUGCGUGCGGAAGUCGAAGGACCGCUCUCGUUUUCUUUUAUCCACCACUUUUCUACACUCGAACACCCCUAGCCUUGUGCUAGUACAGCUUAAGCUGAAAUUUUUCUGCUGAAAAUGUGCGUGAAGUUGCUUAGUGUUGAUUGCGAAUAGGAAGCAUGCUCACUUAGGACCGGACGAGGCCUUAGUGAUUUAAUAAUGAUAUUAGUCUAUGUUUGAUUUGCUUGUUUAACUUUAAAACAAUGUUUAAUAUUUAAUGAAAUGAAACUCUUCGUAUCCAUGGUUU